RNAcentral lists this RNase P RNA (280 nucleotides) under Desulfocapsa sulfexigens DSM 10523. RNAcentral's name for it is "Bacterial RNase P class A". It matches the Rfam family "Bacterial RNase P class A", at positions 1 to 282 of the family's 367-position model. Rfam says of the family: Ribonuclease P (RNase P) is a ubiquitous endoribonuclease, found in archaea, bacteria and eukarya as well as chloroplasts and mitochondria. Its best characterised activity is the generation of mature 5'-ends of tRNAs by cleaving the 5'-leader elements of precursor-tRNAs. Lineage: Bacteria; Pseudomonadati; Thermodesulfobacteriota; Desulfobulbia; Desulfobulbales; Desulfocapsaceae. The record is from RNAcentral.
CGGGUGCAUGAUCGCUCGGGUCUUUAAGGCCUGAGAGGAAAGUCCGAACUCCGCAGGGCAGGAUGGUUCGUAACGCGAACGCCGGGUGACUGGCGGAAAGUGCCACAGAAAAUAUACCGCCGGGUCUUCGGAUUCGGUAAGGGUGAAAUGGCGAGGUAAGAGCUCACCGCCUGCACAGGUGACUGUCAGGGCAGGGUAAACCCCAUCCGGAGCAAGACCAAAUAGGAAGACGUCCCGCAGGAAGUGCCUUUGAGGUACAUUUUGUGGGUAUGGUUGCCCG